RNAcentral lists this ribosomal RNA (450 nucleotides) under uncultured bacterium. RNAcentral describes it as "bacterial SSU rRNA". It matches the Rfam family "Bacterial small subunit ribosomal RNA", at positions 29 to 526 of the family's 1533-position model. The record is from RNAcentral.
AACGAACGCUGGCGGCAGGCUUAACACAUGCAAGUCGAACGCUCCGCAAGGAGAGUGGCAGACGGGUGAGUAACGCGUGGGAAUCUACCCAUCUCUACGGAACAACUCCGGGAAACUGGAGCUAAUACCGUAUACGUCCUUCGGGAGAAAGAUUUAUUGCUGAUAGAUUAGCCCGCGUUAGAUUAGCUAGUUGGUGGGGUAAAGGCCUACCAAGGCGACGAUCUAUAGCUGGUCUGAGAGGAUGAUCAGCCACACUGGGACUGAGACACGGCCCAGACUCCUACGGGAGGCAGCAGUGGGGAAUAUUGGACAAUGGGCGCAAGCCUGAUCCAGCCAUGCCGCGUGUGUGAUGAAGGCCUUAGGGUUGUAAAGCACUUUCAACGGUGAAGAUAAUGACGGUAACCGUAGAAGAAGCCCCGGCUAACUUCGUGCCAGCCGCCGCCGUAACAC